RNAcentral lists this long non-coding RNA (2186 nucleotides) under Paramuricea clavata. The record is from RNAcentral. Lineage: Eukaryota; Metazoa; Cnidaria; Anthozoa; Malacalcyonacea; Plexauridae.
AUUCGACAACUAUUUAUAUUUUCAUGCUUCUACAGUAUAGUAAAUGAUCAAGGGACAACAAUCAUGCUUUGCAGGAACAUAAAAUGAAAUAAAAAGAGCUAAAAACUUAAUUAAAGUGUUUAUAUCAAGGCAGGAGACUCCUAUGUGCGCAUGCGCAGACCAGACUGUACCCUAUCUUUAUGAAUAAAAUAAUAGUCAUAUUUGCAACAGUUACAAGUUGGACAAUUUCAAUAUUAACAGGACUAACAUAUAUUCACCUGUAUUUUAGAAUUUCACUACCUCUAGCUUAGAUAACCUAAUCAUUAACAUUACAAGCUAAAAAUAUCUCAAUUCCUAAAAAUCACUACUUUGCCAACCCAGAGAAGCCUACGAUCAUAUAUAACCAGUUGCACGACGAUUCUGCAAGCAAACAGACCUGAAAACUGUGAAAUUUGACCGUACAUAAGUCAUGACGCCAUUAACAACAAAGUAUGCUUGACUGUAUUUUUGUUACAUGUCUCAAAUGACAGAUAGAGGAUGAUUUGCACUACACAACGUUUGGCUAAAACUGUCGCAUGCAACCUGUUCACAACUUGAGUUGUACUGUGUAAAUCAAGCACACAGCUCGUCUACGACAACGUAUGUAAGUUGUGUGCUUGAUUGGCACAGUACAACUCAAGUUGUAAGCAGGUUGCAUGCGACAGUUUUAGGCAAAAGUUGUGUAGUGUAAGUUGGAAUUGAAAUUGUUCCUCAAUCUUGGCAAAUGUACGUUCCUUAGGAUUUCGACAUUCCGCCUUUUUCCAGGUCUGUAAGCUAAUGGAGCUUUGCUGUUUAUUUCACUUUCGCCCCAAUGGCCAUAUUUUCAUCAGUUUGCCUGUUUUAGCAUAAACAUGUAAAAACGCAAGUCUGCAAACAAUUAAGUUGUUACAAAUCUGUUCACAAGCUGUCAACAAGUUGUCUUCGCACUGCUUGUUCCCAGUUGUUGUAACAAGUUUGGAACAAGCUGUUAACAAGCUUGAUGGCAUUAUCAGACUUGUCACAAGGUUGUUCUAACAAGUCUGUACAGUCAUGAUGAACAAGAAUGUUACAAGGUUGACGACACAAGGUUGUAACAAUAUUGUUAUAUCACGACUGUAUCGGACUUGUUGAAACAACCUUGUAAACAAGCCUGAUAAUAACAACGAGGUUGUUACAAAUUGUUAACAGCUUGUUUCAAACUUGUCGACAACUUUGGACAAGCAGUGCGAACACAACUUGUUGACGGCUUGUUGGCAGAUUUGCUACAAGAUGUGAGAUGUUUACUCGUGUAUCAGGCGCACAUGAAGGUUAUAUCCCCAUGUUUGAUGUUUCGUGCACGCAUAUGUUUCUCUUUGAUCUUCAUCACAAUCACAAGCCUCUCUUUAGCCCUAUUCUCCUGUACACACGUAAAAACGCACAAGUUGCAACAAACCUGCAGCAGACUUGUAGUAAUGCUUUUCCAACAACUUGUCAACAGGAUGUGUUCGCACUGCUUGCUCCCAGCUUGUUGACAAGUUGUCCACGGCUCGUUGACAACUUGCUACAAGGUUGUUGAGUUCGACAGACUUGUUGCAAGUUGUUCCAACAACUUGCUAUCGUCCUGCAAUUCAACAAUUUGUCAACAAGUUGUGAGUGACAACCUUGUAGCAAGUUGAUGAAAUAACAUGAUUGUUACAACUUGUCGACAAGCUUGCUACAAGCCUGUUGCGAACACAUCUUGUUGACAAGUUGUGAGAUUUUUACGUGUGUAGAUGGGUGUCAGUCAAGUGAUGCGUUUAGCGCUUGGUGGUCAACAAGUAUUGAUCUUGUGAUUAGUACCAAAUAUAUUAUUAUGCAAUUUAACGAAAUUUACUUGCUUCCACAAGGCAUAAAGUAGCCAGCAGAGCUUUGGCCGUAUUUCCAGGGGGAGCUUGAAAUACAAGGGUGGGUAGUAGCGAAGUAAUUGUAGUUCGCUACUGUAGCGAACUACAAUUUUCAAGUAGCCAGUAGUUUUUGACUACUUUUAUAAAACAGUAGCUGUAGUUAUAGCGAACUACAUUUUUCCUAAAAGUAGCCAAGUAGUUGACUACUUUUCGAACAGAAAAUCGCUAUUCGCUACUUUUUAAAAUUAUUAGCAACUUGAUAGAAUAGCAUGAUAUUGAGACACGGUUUGCUUAGAAUCAAUACUCAAUUGUCAAUUUGCACUCUUG